GUUUUUUGGAAGAAUACAUCAUGGAAGGGUCUUAAUAUGUGGCAGGGCUCUUAAAUUUAUUUUAAUGUAUUCAAAUUAAGUAUUUUUAAACUGUUGAGUCCAAAGUGAAAAAUUUGGGAAACUUGACAGCUAUCAAUGCUAGGUGGCAUAUUGACCUUAACUAGGAAAUGCUGUUUCUUUGAAAAAGGAAAUAGAAAUGCCCUAUGGCUGUUUCUAGCCUAAAAAACUUUGUGGGGUUCAUUCAAGGCUCUAGAUAUAAUAAAAGGCUGAGAAAACUGAAUAGUGGUAGACAGCAGAGUUCCUGUAAAUUGGACACAAAUAACCAGAGGAGCUGGCCUGUCUCUGUUACCAAAACAGCUCGGGUCCUUUGGGAAGAAAAAGCAAUUUGUUUGGCAGUCCUGCUGAGGACUGAGGUUAGAGGGAGGAAUACUACGUAUCUUCACAUUUUCAAUUGAAGAGAAAAUAGAUAGGAAACCCAUGCCAG
This 484-nucleotide long non-coding RNA is filed under the name Apteryx owenii (little spotted kiwi). RNAcentral's name for it is "lncRNA (ENSAOWG00000007065.1)". Lineage: Eukaryota; Metazoa; Chordata; Aves; Apterygiformes; Apterygidae. The record is from RNAcentral.